GGAGGAAUAGCUCAGCUGGUAGAGUGCAAACUGAACAUGCACAAGGUUCUUGGUUCAACUCCCAGUACUUCCA
This 73-nucleotide transfer RNA is filed under the name Camelus ferus (Wild Bactrian camel). It matches the Rfam family "tRNA". Rfam says of the family: Transfer RNA (tRNA) molecules are approximately 80 nucleotides in length. Their secondary structure includes four short double-helical elements and three loops (D, anti-codon, and T loops). Lineage: Eukaryota; Metazoa; Chordata; Mammalia; Artiodactyla; Camelidae. The record is from Rfam by way of RNAcentral.